Long non-coding RNA from Amphimedon queenslandica, 104 nucleotides. RefSeq lists it as uncharacterized. The record is from RefSeq and is a predicted model, not a curated record. The transcript has 2 exons. Lineage: Eukaryota; Metazoa; Porifera; Demospongiae; Haplosclerida; Niphatidae.
GCCCAGCUGUGGGCUGUGAAUAGACAGAUUUAUGCCAAUCUACCAAGGAGAGCUGGCAGGGGCAGGGGCCGCAGGCCGAGGCCCAGAGGGGCCGUAACAAAAAA